RNAcentral lists this ribosomal RNA (300 nucleotides) under uncultured Acidianus sp. Its description in RNAcentral is "partial 16S ribosomal RNA". It matches the Rfam family "Bacterial small subunit ribosomal RNA", at positions 496 to 795 of the family's 1533-position model. Lineage: Archaea; Thermoproteati; Thermoproteota; Thermoprotei; Sulfolobales; Sulfolobaceae. The record is from RNAcentral.
GCUAAAGCGGGGGGAAGAGCAGGGGUAAGACGGGGGGGGCAAGAGUUAAUCGGAAUGACUGGGCGGAAAGCGCACGCAGGCGGUCUGGCAAGGCGGAUGUGAAAUAGCCGGGAGCAACCGGGGAACUGCAGGCGAAACUGGCAGGCUAGAGGCUUGUAGAGGGGGGUAGAAUUCCAGGUGUAGCGGUGAAAUGCGUAGAGAUCUGGAGGAAUACCGGUGGCGAAGGCGGCCCCCUGGACAAAGACUGACGCUCAGGUGCGAAAGCGUGGGGAGCAAACAGGAUUAGAUACCCCAGUAUUC